This 497-nucleotide ribosomal RNA is filed under the name uncultured bacterium. Its description in RNAcentral is "partial 16S ribosomal RNA". It matches the Rfam family "Bacterial small subunit ribosomal RNA", at positions 28 to 507 of the family's 1533-position model. The record is from RNAcentral.
GAUGAACGCUGGCGGCGUGCCUAAUACAUGCAAGUCGAGCGAACGGACGAGAAGCUUGCUUCUCUGAUGUUAGCGGCGGACGGGUGAGUAACACGUGGAUAACCUACCUAUAAGACUGGGAUAACUUCGGGAAACCGGAGCUAAUACCGGAUGAUAUUUUGAACCGCAUGGUUCAAAGGUGAAAGACGGUCUUGCUGUCACUUAUAGAUGGAUCCGCGCUGCAUUAGCUAGUUGGUAAGGUAACGGCUUACCAAGGCAACGAUGCAUAGCCGACCUGAGAGGGUGACCGGCCACACUGGAACUGAGACACGGUCCAGACUCCUACGGGAGGCAGCAGUAGGGAAUCUUCCGCAAUGGGCGAAAGCCUGACGGAGCAACGCCGCGUGAGUGAUGAAGGUCUUCGGAUCGUAAAACUCUGUUAUUAGGGAAGAACAUAUGUGUAAGUAACUGUGCACAUCUUGACGGUACCUAAACAGAAAGCCACGGCUAACUACGUG